Molecule: ribosomal RNA, 464 nt
Filed under: uncultured bacterium
Lineage: Bacteria
Description: partial 16S ribosomal RNA
Rfam family: Bacterial small subunit ribosomal RNA
Source: RNAcentral
CUACGGGAUGCUGCAGUGAGGAAUUUUGCGCAAUGGGGGAAACCCUGACGCAGCAACGCCGCGUGAGCGAAGAAGGCCUUCGGGUCGUAAAGCUCUGUCAAGUGGGAAAAAAAUUCUUUGAUGAACAGUCAAAGGACUUGAUGGUACCACUGGAGGAAGCACCGGCUAACUCCGUGCCAGCGGCCGCGGUAAUACGGAGGGUGCAAGCGUUGUUCGGAAUUACUGGGCGUAAAGAGCGUGUAGGCGGUUUGACAAGUCAGAUGUGAAAGCCCCGGGCUCAACCCGGGAAGUGCAUUUGAAACUGUUUCACUAGAGUAUGGGAGAGGAGAUUGGAAUUCCUGGUGUAGAGGUGAAAUUCGUAGAUGUCAGGAGGAACACCCGUGGCGAAGGCGAUUCUCUGGACCAAUACUGACGCUGAGACGCGAAAGCGUGGGGAGCAAACAGGAUUAGAUACCCGCGUAGUC